GCUUGUUUCAGCAGACACACACUAAAAUUGGAAUGAUACAGAGAAGAUUAGCAUGGCCCCUGCUCAAGAAUGACACGCAAACUCGUGAAGUGUCCCAUAUUUUU
Small nuclear RNA from Ursus americanus (American black bear), 104 nucleotides. NCBI's taxonomy places the organism in Eukaryota, Metazoa, Chordata, Mammalia, Carnivora, Ursidae. The record is from Ensembl.